CUCAUCAUAUUUGUUUUAAUAUAUAGACUUCCCACUUCAGUCACCAUAUUUGUUUUAGUAUAUCCAACGAAGAGAAAAAUAGGGUCUUCCUUAUCCAACUCAUCAUUUCAAAGAGAAGUGGGAACUAAAGCAAAAUAGGGUUUACUGCAGACAGGUAGUAUCAGCCAAACAAUCACAGGAGACUCUUUCAUAUUUUUCAGAUCAAUGAGUUGAUGCAGGCGAAA
This 224-nucleotide long non-coding RNA is filed under the name Elaeis guineensis (African oil palm). RNAcentral's name for it is "long non-coding RNA (EGUI_LNC026836)". Lineage: Eukaryota; Viridiplantae; Streptophyta; Magnoliopsida; Arecales; Arecaceae. The record is from RNAcentral.